CCCUAGGCUUUGGGAUAACCCUCGGAAACGGGGGCUAAUACCGAAUAUUACUGCUGGCCGCAUGGCUGGUGGUGGAAAGUUUUUCGGCCUGGGAUGGGCUCGCGGCCUAUCAGCUUGUUGGUGGGGUGAUGGCCUACCAAGGCGACGACGGGUAGCCGGCCUGAGAGGGCGACCGGCCACACUGGGACUGAGACACGGCCCAGACUCCUACGGGAGGCAGCAGUGGGGAAUAUUGCACAAUGGGCGGAAGCCUGAUGCAGCGACGCCGCGUGAGGGAUGACGGCCUUCGGGUUGUAAACCUCUUUCAGCAGGGACGAAGCGCAAGUGACGGUACCUGCAGAAGAAGCGCCGGCCAACUACGUGCCAGCAGCCGCGGUAAGACGUAGGGCGCGAGCGUUGUCCGGAUUUAUUGGGCGUAAAGAGCUCGUAGGCGGCUUGUCGCGUCGACUGUGAAAACCCGCGGCUCAACUGCGGGCCUGCAGUCGAUACGGGCAGGCUAGAGUUCGGUAGGGGAGACUGGAAUUCCUGGUGUAGCGGU
Molecule: ribosomal RNA, 538 nt
Filed under: Micromonospora sp. SAUK6021
Lineage: Bacteria; Bacillati; Actinomycetota; Actinomycetes; Micromonosporales; Micromonosporaceae
Description: bacterial SSU rRNA
Rfam family: Bacterial small subunit ribosomal RNA
Source: RNAcentral